This 434-nucleotide ribosomal RNA is filed under the name uncultured Lachnospiraceae bacterium. RNAcentral describes it as "bacterial SSU rRNA". It matches the Rfam family "Bacterial small subunit ribosomal RNA", at positions 341 to 792 of the family's 1533-position model. The record is from RNAcentral. Lineage: Bacteria; Bacillati; Bacillota; Clostridia; Lachnospirales; Lachnospiraceae.
ACGGAAGGCAGCAGUGGGGGAUAUUGCACAAUGGGGGGAACCCUGAUGCAGCGACGCCGCGUGAGUGAAGAAGUAUUUCGGUAUGUAAGGCUCUAUCAGCAGGAAAGAUAAUGACGGUACCUGACUAAGAAGCACCGGCUAAAUACGUGCCAGCAGCCGCGGUAAUACGUAUGGUGCAAGCGUUAUCCGGAUUUACUGGGUGUAAAGGGAGCGCAGACGGCAUGGCAAGCCAGAUGUGAAAGGUGGGGGCUCAACCCCCAAGCUGCAUUUGGAACUGUCAAGCUAGAGUAUCGGAGAGGUAAGUGGAAUUCCUAGUGUAGCGGUGAAAUGCGUAGAUAUUAGGAGGAACACCAGUGGCGAAGGCGGCUUACUGGACGAUAACUGACGCUGAGGCUCGAAAGCGUGGGGAGCAAACAGGAUUAGAUACCCUGGUA